Stenotrophomonas maltophilia SKK35 is the source of this 86-nucleotide non-coding RNA. NCBI's taxonomy places the organism in Bacteria, Pseudomonadati, Pseudomonadota, Gammaproteobacteria, Lysobacterales, Lysobacteraceae. The record is from Rfam.
AUCGACGGCGGGCGGUGCGUGGGGGCCCCGUGCCCACCGGCUCAUCGAUUACCGGUCUUGGAAGCCACGCAUCGCCUGCCACCCUC